This 465-nucleotide ribosomal RNA is filed under the name uncultured bacterium. RNAcentral describes it as "bacterial SSU rRNA". It matches the Rfam family "Bacterial small subunit ribosomal RNA", at positions 338 to 795 of the family's 1533-position model. The record is from RNAcentral.
CCUACGGGGCGCACCAGUGGGGAAUAUUGCACAAUGGGCGCAAGCCUGAUGCAGCCAUGCCGCAUGUAUGAAGAAGGCCUUCGGGUUGUAAAGUACUUUCAGCGGGGAGGAAGGAGUUGUGGUUAAUAACCGCAGCAAUUGACGUUACCCGCAGAAGAAGCACCGGCUAACUCCGUGCCAGCAGCCGCGGUAAUACGGAGGGUGCAAGCGUUAAUCGGAAUUACUGGGCGUAAAGCGCACGCAGGCGGUCUGUCAAGUCGGAUGUGAAAUCCCCGGGCUCAACCUGGGAACUGCAUUCGAAACUGGCAGGCUAGAGUCUUGUAGAGGGGGGUAGAAUUCCAGGUGUAGCGGUGAAAUGCGUAGAGAUCUGGGGGAAUACCGGUGGCGAAGGCGGCCCCCUGGACAAAGACUGACGCUCAGGUGCGAAAGCGUGGGGAGCAAACAGGAUUAGAUACCCCGGUAGUC